Molecule: ribosomal RNA, 389 nt
Filed under: uncultured bacterium
Lineage: Bacteria
Description: bacterial SSU rRNA
Rfam family: Bacterial small subunit ribosomal RNA
Source: RNAcentral
GACGAACGCUGGCGGCGUGCUUAACACAUGCAAGUCGAGCGGUAAGGCCCUCUCGGGGGUACACGAGCGGCGAACGGGUGAGUAACACGUGGGUGACCUGCCCUCAGCUCUGGGGAUAAGCCUGGGAAACCGGGUCUAAUACUGGAUAUGACUCCAUGACGCAUGUUGUGGGGUGGAAAGCCUUGUGCGGCUGAGGAUGGGCCCGCGGCCUAUCAGCUUGUUGGUGGGGUGAUGGCCUACCAAGGCGACGACGGGUAGCCGGCCUGAGAGGGCGACCGGCCACACUGGGACUGAGACACGGCCCAGACUCCUACGGGAGGCAGCAGUGGGGAAUCUUGCGCAAUGGGCGAAAGCCUGACGCAGCGACGCCGCGUGAGGGAUGACGGCCU